Molecule: ribosomal RNA, 430 nt
Filed under: Acidobacteriota bacterium
Lineage: Bacteria; Pseudomonadati; Acidobacteriota
Description: Acidobacteria bacterium partial 16S ribosomal RNA
Rfam family: Bacterial small subunit ribosomal RNA
Source: RNAcentral
UGGGGAAUAUUGGACAAUGGGCGCAAGCCUGAUCCAGCCAUGCCGCGUGUGUGAAGAAGGCCUCUUGGUUGUAAAGCACUUUAAGUGAGGAGGAGGCUACUUGGAUUAAUACUCUAAGAUAGUGGACGUUACUCGCAGAAUAAGCACCGGCUAACUCUGUGCCAGCAGCCGCGGUAAUACAGAGGGUGCGAGCGUUAAUCGGAUUUACUGGGCGUAAAGCGUGCGUAGGCGGCUUCUUAAGUCGGAUGUGAAAUCCCUGAGCUUAACUUAGGAAUUGCAGUCGAUACUGGGAAGCUGGAGUAUGGGAGAGGAUGGUAGGCUUCCAGGUGUAGCGGUGAAAUGCGUAGAGAUCUGGAGGAAUACCGGUGGCGAAGGCAGCCAUCUGGCCUACUACUGACGCUGAGGUACGAAAGCAUGGGGGGCAAACAGG